UUUCCCACCACCUAAAAUUUGUUCCAUCUCUCUCGCAUUGCAUCGCCGGUGGUGAAAGAGGUAUACGCGUAUGCUAAUCUCAUCGUUCGGAAUCAGACUCUCCUUCCCUCAUCGUCGGCGGUGAAAUUGGCUGUAGGCUUUCUCUUUGCUGUUGUGGUCGUUUUGUUUUGGCCUGUGUUGAUGUGGUGUUACUUUGAGAUCAUGACCAAUACUGAAAAUCCAAUAAUGUGUGCGCCCCCACUUAACCUUGAUGUUACACAUAUGGAAGGGGAAACCUCAUGUUAACGUUGGAACAAUUGGACAUGUUGAUCAUGGAAAAACAACACUGAUAGAUGCAAUUACAAAGGUGCUAGCAGAUGAAGGUUAGUUGGAUUUACGAACCAUAAUCCCUUGUUUCCACGACCUCGCCACCACCGGAGUGAAAAACAACUCUGUCGUCACCAUCGACGUGAAAAACAACGCAGUUUUCACCAUGGCGUCUGGCAUCUGCCUCGCCUCUGGAGGUGGCCGUUGCUGCUAUCAACCACCAUCGUCUUGCUACAGACCACCUUUAAACCCAUCACCUCCGGAGAGGUGGCUGCCGAACUUUCAUCCUUGGUUAAGGCAAGGACGCGCAGGGCCGGUCACCGGAGACUGGCCGGGUUCGGAUCUCUCUCCGUCUUCCAAAUCUCUCUCCCGUUUCAAUCUUCUAGUCUAUCUGUCUCUUUUGAAGGUGGAGGAUGAUCAAAAGGGUCCUGCGCCGUGUCGCAGGAGGUGGUUCAGAAGGGUGGCCAACGGAAGUCAAUGGCGGCACAAGACCAAUGUACAGCGACACUUUCUAUAUUAACAUCUUGAAAUUAUUAAGCAUGUAAGUGAGCCACCAAAGGGUGACUCUGUGCCGCAUUAUUCACCUUUUUUUUUCUGCAAGUCCUGCAUGCAUCAUCAACAAACUAUAUUAACAUCUUGAAAUUAUUAAGCAUGUCUAAAGAUUUUAGUUGGU
RNAcentral lists this long non-coding RNA (979 nucleotides) under Helianthus annuus (common sunflower). Lineage: Eukaryota; Viridiplantae; Streptophyta; Magnoliopsida; Asterales; Asteraceae. The record is from RNAcentral.